UCCGCUAUGGUAGGAUCCCAAAUUUUAUUAAAAAAAUUCAAGUCCAGACCCAAAUAUUUGGUGGCAACUCAGGCUGAAGUAGACUGCCUUCCAGCAUCAUAGGCAUUGGUAGAGUAUUCAGUCCUUUCUUCCUCAUAUUUUUUAGAGACUCAGAAGCCCUCUAUAGCCUGAGAAGCGGCCUCAACUGUUCGCUUCUCCUCAGCCCCCAGGCAGGCCUUCAGUUCUUUUAUUUCUCUGAGCAGUUGAUAAUUCUCCUCGACAGUCUUCCUCAAUACUGCCUCGACAUCUUUGGCUCUCCUUUCGACGGCGUCGGUUUAAGACUUCAUCGACCUUCUUCUCAGCCUUCUCUCUUGCUCUUUUAAGUAUCUCGACUUUGAGCCUAGACUUUUUUGCCUCUUUGGCCAACUCACGAGAACUUUCAAUAUAUUCGUUCAGGUAAUGGGUGAGCUGGUAAGUAGAAAAAAAUUCAGAAGUAAAAAAUGAGCAUACAGUAGGUGCUAAGUGAGAAAAUCCAAAUAUAUCCGGAUAAAGCAAUCCAUGGCUCCUCUCCUCAUCUUCCUUCGAGGGAUGCCUAGUAGCUCAUUCGCAUCGAUAGGGAGUAGUUCGAAGAGUAGCUUGCUCGCCAGCACGAGAUCCCUCAGCACCAAGGCCUCCAGCUUCAACCCAAGUGUAGUUUCAGAUGCGCUGGAAACCUCGAUGGGAGCCUCAUCCAAGGAAGGCUCGACUGCGGGUGAAGCUCAUCAGAUCGAAGAAUCGAGAGGAGCGGAUAAACUCAGAAUCACAUCCUCCAGGCCUUACUCUGUAUGACCCACCCAAUAACCUACAGCAUUAGAGAUGGUAGGCAAAUCCUCUCUCACCAGUGCAAUCUCAUGACCCUCCAGAGGAAAUGGUUCAAACUCCCUGAUCUCCAGGGUCGAUUGCGUGGGAUCUCCAACUUUAACCUAGAGGUUCCAUCUGACAGCGGGCUUAGCACCUCUUUUUCGCAAAAUUUUCCUCUCUCUCUUUGGCGGGCUCAAGCUCUUCCUGACUUCUAGCUCUACAAUCAUCAUGGAGAUCCAAUUGUAAGACGAACAAAGUCAGAAGAAUUAAGACCAGAACAGCUUACUUGCAUAUCUUGGGAGCAACUUGGCUGAUACCGGUAUUAAACAAUAUCUGAGCCGACAGCAGCUCCUUUAACUCUGGAAUCUUGAAGCUCCACAGAGCUGCCAUCAGGCUCCAGGGUCUUGUUCAUAGAAAGCUCUUUUAACGAAGUUUCUUGGGGUUCACCCC
This 1269-nucleotide long non-coding RNA is filed under the name Elaeis guineensis (African oil palm). RNAcentral describes it as "long non-coding RNA (EGUI_LNC043003)". Lineage: Eukaryota; Viridiplantae; Streptophyta; Magnoliopsida; Arecales; Arecaceae. The record is from RNAcentral.